AUGGCGCAAGAUAAUACCAAAUUGGGUGAUUUCUCCAAUACCAAUAAUAAUGAUUUCCUUAGCACUCCGAUUGCUCCUCUUAAUGAUGUUGAGUCUUGUGAAAUCAAUACUGCUUUGCUGAAUCUUGUUAUGAAAGAUCAAUUCACCGGCCUUCCUAGUGAAGAUGUUGCUACUUAUCUAAACAACUCUGUUGAUUUGUGUGAUAUGCAAAAGAAGAAAGAUAUGAAUAAUGAUAUUGUUAAAUUGAAGUUAUUUUCGUUUUCACUUAGAGAUCGUGCUAAAGUUUGGUUUUCGUCUUUGCCUAAAAAUAGUAUUGAUUCUUGGAACAAUUGCAAAGAUGCUCUUAUCUCUAAGUACUUUCCUCCUGCUAAGAUUAUCACUCUUAGGAACGAUAUUAUGAAUUUUAAACAACUUGAUCAUGAGCAUGUUGCCCAAUCUUGGGAAAGAAUGAAAUUGAUGAUUCGCAAUUGCCCUACUCAUGGUUUGAGUUAA
RNAcentral lists this ribosomal RNA (492 nucleotides) under Triticum aestivum (bread wheat). RNAcentral describes it as "partial small subunit ribosomal RNA". Lineage: Eukaryota; Viridiplantae; Streptophyta; Magnoliopsida; Poales; Poaceae. The record is from RNAcentral.